AUUGAACGCUGGCGGCAUGCCUUACACAUGCAAGUCGAACGGCAGCACGGGAGCAAUCCUGGUGGCGAGUGGCGAACGGGUGAGUAAUACAUCGGAACGUGCCCAAUCGUGGGGGAUAACGCAGCGAAAGCUGUGCUAAUACCGCAUACGAUCUACGGAUGAAAGCAGGGGAUCGCGAGACCUUGCGCGAAUGGAGCGGCCGAUGGCAGAUUAGGUAGUUGGUGAGGUAAAGGCUCACCAAGCCGUCGAUCUGUAGCUGGUCUGAGAGGACGACCAGCCACACUGGGACUGAGACACGGCCCAGACUCCUACGGGAGGCAGCAGUGGGGAAUUUUGGACAAUGGGCGAAAGCCUGAUCCAGCCAUGCCGCGUGCAGGAUGAAGGCCUUCGGAUUGUAAACUGCUUUUGUACGGAACGAAACGGCCUUUUCUAGUAAAGAGGGCUAAUGACGGUACCGUAAGAAUAAGCACCGGCUAACUACGUGCCAGCAGCCGCGGUAAUACGUAGGGUGCAAGCGUUAAUCGGAAUUACUGGGCGUAAAGCGUGCGCAGGCGGUUAUGUAAGACAGUUGUGAAAUCCCCGGGCUCAACCUGGGAACUGCAUCUGUGACUGCAUAGCUAGAGUACGGUAGAGGGGGAUGGAAUUCCGCGUGUAGCAGUGAAAUGCGUAGAUAUGCGGAGGAACACCGAUGGCGAAGGCAAUCCCCUGGACCUGUACUGACGCUCAUGCACGAAAGCGUGGGGAGCAAACAGG
RNAcentral lists this ribosomal RNA (753 nucleotides) under uncultured Comamonadaceae bacterium. Its description in RNAcentral is "bacterial SSU rRNA". It matches the Rfam family "Bacterial small subunit ribosomal RNA", at positions 28 to 776 of the family's 1533-position model. Lineage: Bacteria; Pseudomonadati; Pseudomonadota; Betaproteobacteria; Burkholderiales; Comamonadaceae. The record is from RNAcentral.